RNAcentral lists this ribosomal RNA (464 nucleotides) under uncultured Klebsiella sp. RNAcentral's name for it is "bacterial SSU rRNA". It matches the Rfam family "Bacterial small subunit ribosomal RNA", at positions 338 to 795 of the family's 1533-position model. Lineage: Bacteria; Pseudomonadati; Pseudomonadota; Gammaproteobacteria; Enterobacterales; Enterobacteriaceae. The record is from RNAcentral.
CCUACGGGUGGCUGCAGUGGGGAAUAUUGCACAAUGGGCGCAAGCCUGAUGCAGCCAUGCCGCGUGUGUGAAGAAGGCCUUCGGGUUGUAAAGCACUUUCAGCGGGGAGGAAGGCGGUGAGGUUAAUAACCUCAUCGAUUGACGUUACCCGCAGAAGAAGCACCGGCUAACUCCGUGCCAGCAGCCGCGGUAAUACGGAGGGUGCAAGCGUUAAUCGGAAUUACUGGGCGUAAAGCGCACGCAGGCGGUCUGUCAAGUCGGAUGUGAAAUCCCCGGGCUCAACCUGGGAACUGCAUUCGAAACUGGCAGGCUAGAGUCUUGUAGAGGGGGUAGAAUUCCAGGUGUAGCGGUGAAAUGCGUAGAGAUCUGGAGGAAUACCGGUGGCGAAGGCGGCCCCCUGGACAAAGACUGACGCUCAGGUGCGAAAGCGUGGGGAGCAAACAGGAUUAGAUACCCUAGUAGUC